UGCGGAGGGUGGGGUCUGCACCGUGGCAGCAGCAGGACCCACCCCUCCCCAGGAUAUAUAAGCAGGUAGCUGCUGGGAGUGGACAUUCUUUUUCAGUGAAGGAGGCACCUGUAAGUUGUCACACUUCGGCAAGUGACCCCAGUUAAACUCAUUGGUUCAUGGAAGCUCCACUUAGACUCGUUUGCUGUAGGAGCCCUAUCUGGGGUGAGCAACAGGUUGCUCACGUUUCCUCCGGAAAAGCUAAUGCAACAAUGUAGCAUUUAAGUUGUUUUAAGAAAGAUCUGUUUGACUUGGCGCUGCAAGAUGUAUCUAUGUUGGCACCAAGUGCUGUGAAGUCAUCCUGAACCAAAGAGAGUUGAAAACCACACCAAGAAAGCAAACGCAUGCGUGCACGCCCACACACACAACCAACCGGAAGAGAAAUUCCAUAAGUGAUAACAGACUUAAUUUUCUUAGGCACGGCUUCAAAAGUUACUGGGUCACAAUUGUGAUAUGGCUUUUAAUGCUGUCCAGUCAGACGUCAAGUUCCUCAGUCAAAUAUCAAGUUAGGAAUAGCUUAUCCAUCAGCAGGUCACCAGGCUACCGCAAAGACGAGGCUUUUCCCUCUGUGAAGAAGUCUUCCCGUUCCUGGACAUCAAAUUCACUCCUUUUUGGUCAGUACUAGGGAAUUUGGAGAUUUGCUGGAUUACUAUUUCUUUCCCAAAACAAACAAACAAACAAACAAAAAUCAUUUUAGUCUUUCCUUUUAAGUAGGCCGGCCUCUGUCAGGAAUUCUCUGACAGUUGGGAUAGUAGGACACGUGAGUCACUGUGAACACUGCAGGGGAUGUGUUGCUGCCAAUCAACAAGGUGUGCUCCUGUGCGCAGAACUAAAAUAGCCUCAGAUGACAGAGAGAGUAGAUUAUUCCUUAAGCACCGAGUGGGGGAUGGGACCCUUGAAAAGGCAGGGGUUUCACACAUCUAGACAUCCAAAAUCAGACCUAAGGGAUGGUGCAGGGGGCAGACUUGGGGUUGCCCCUCCAUACACAGGGCACACAGUGGUCUGGAGAGAAGAAAUAUUCUAUGAGCAAGUCUGAUAUGCCAGGCCAGGAGAUGACGUCCAUUCAACUCCCAACUCCGUGACAGCAGGACAACUCUCAAAAACCUGGAGACGCCACAGAACAGUGUCAGGGAAUCAAGCAGACCCAGGUUCAAAUCCUACCUUGAUCCCUCACUUGCCAUGUGGUUUUUUUUUUUUAAAGAAAUUAUCUAAAAUAAAGUCAAGUCAAGUUGAUACUGUGACAUUGCUUGUAAUCCUAACCCUCAGGAGGGGAAGACAGGGGGACCACAGGGAGUUCAAGGGCUGCUGGAACUAUGUGGGAGUCAGACAACUCAGCAACGGUAACGAUGCUACAUUAGAGUGACAAUAGGAAAAAACCACCCAGUGAAUGCCCAGCACAGAGUCAACAGUACACACUACUAAGGACAUUUUCUUAAAUGACAUUUUGUAAGACAUAAUAGGCGCUCUCGUUCUCUCUCUCUCUCUCUCUCUCUCUCUCUCUCUCUCUCUCUUUCUCUCUCUCUCUCUCUCUCUCUGUGUUUUACAGUAUGAAGGUGUAAUGACAGAAGGACUCUAAAUGUGAAAAUCUAUGUGUGAUCAGGAAAGUAUUAGUCGGAUAGAAUUCAACAUACUUGUUAAAAUCCGCUAACUUCAAGACUGAGCAAUGGCUAAAUAUUACUACUGCUACCAAGCUCUCUUCUUCUAGGCCGAUUCCCACGUCCUUGACUAAGCCAAGGUUUUCUUAAAGUACUUUUUUUCAUUUUAUGCCUAUGGACGUUUUGUCUACAUACGUAUGUACCAUGUACAUGCAGUACUCGUGGAGGUCAGAAGAGGGCGUUGGAUCUCCCGGAGCUGGAGUUACAGAUGUUUGUGAGUUCUGUGUGGUGGGAAUCGAACCCAGAUUCUCCGGAAAAGCAGCCAGCGCUCUUAACCACUGAGCCAUCUCUCCAUUUCUCUUAACCAGCCUGGGUUAAAUCUAAUUGUAGUAAUUAGUCUACAGUACAGAGCGCUCAUCCAAUCCCUCUUGCUUUGAUAGUGGAAACUUUUGGCUAUGUUCUGCGUUCUUUCUCACUCUGAGAAGUGGGUUAAAACUUCAUCAGUUCCCCCCCCCCCGCACCCUACCCCCGCUUCUCAGCACCUGCCCUAAUAUUAAAGACAAGCCAAUGUGAGCCACAGAGCAACAAAAUAUUAAACUCAACACACGUAGCUGGCCCGUUGUGCGCAGUGUAUCUGCGAUCUUUGGUUAGAAAGUAAGGUGGGCUUAAAAUUUGGAGGCUUUAAAGCACAGCUCUUGUUGGACUAUUCUACAGUACACUGGUUAAACCAGGUUUAUCCUGGGCACCGUGGCCAAGCAAAAGCCACCAGGUUGAGGUGUAGAUGCGACUGCAGAAAGCCUCCUUCCCCAGGGAGAGUCCCACAGAGCAAUUUCCUCUUGCAGCAUUCCAAAUGAGCAGGGCUGCUCAUGUGGGAAAGUGCAUCGGUCCUCUGCGCUCCAGUUCAGCGCACAGUGUUCGUGUACAGGGCAGUGUGUCACGGAUCUCUCCAAGGCCUCGGGGACAGGGAUCUAUCAAACUCUCCGCACCUAACUUUGUCUGGGAACAAACCCUCUUUGAAAACACAACGGGGCUGGAGGAACACGAAGCGUGGGGAUGUCGUCAGCUGUUGGUGAGACGGUCCUCCUCCCCCACCUCUUCCCGGGAGGGAAGCGACCGGACGGCGCGGCCCCGCCCAGCCCCACCCACCGGCUCCACAAAGCCACUGCCCAGGCGCGCGUGUCUCCCGGGGCAAUGGAGGGGUGAGCAGAGCUGGUACCUUAGGAAGAGGCCGCGAUGCCAGAGCCCGGGACACCCGCAGCAUCGCACCGCCGCCGCCAGAUGCUCCACCCAGGGCCGCCGAGUUGCGCCCUCCCCGUUGCCCGCGCCGCGCUCCGCCGCUGCACCCGCUCGGCUGCCCGGCGACCGCCACUGUCAAGUGCAGCCCCGCCCCCGGCGCCGGCCCCAGACGCUGGCUCAUUGGCUGAGGGAGUGGCUGGCUCCGCCCCUCAGGGCAGGCCCUUUCUAGGGGCGCGCUAGAGGGUGGGGAACCAAGCUGGGCGAGGCUUCCUGCGGGCACCGGGAGCUUCUGCUUUGCCAACCCAGAAAUAGACAGCUCCAAAGAAAGGCGAGAGAGGAAGCGUCUUCUCUAGGGCGAGGGCCGUGGCUCCUCGAGACGGGUUCCCUAGGGUGGAAUAUUGAAAUCAUAGCUAGAGGGCUGGGGGGUUGGGUGAUUCUGUGGGCUUGCUUUAAAAAAAAAAAAACCAACUUGAAAUUGCUCUCACACACUUCAACUUCUUCAUCCUACGGAGCAGCUAAACCAAUUCAAAUAACCUGCAUGGCCAAGGUCACCGAGCUGGUCGUAUUGCAGACUCAACACUGUUUGGGUUUUACACUUAGGCUCACGGAGAGGUUGUUCUAAUGUACUGUGUGCUGUCUAGCAAGCGCUUAAUUGAAACUGCAGGGUAUGUCAGAGGUUGCAGGAGUGGGUGGAGCGGCACAUAAUUGGGAGUGCUUGCUAGUGAAUGGGCUUCAUUUGAGGAGACAGGAACACCAUGCGCCUUUUUUCAGUGGCACUGGACACCGGCCUCUUGACUGUGUUGUAAGUCCCCUGGACCAUACAUUUUUUUUAAGACGUGAACUUUAUGAUAGGUGGUUACUUCUGAUAAAAACAGUUAUAAAGUGUAUUGAGUAGAUCGCGUUCAAUAACAACCACGUGGAUUCAUAAAGUGUGCAACAGCGUGGUCCAUUAUGAGCAGAAAUUAGGAUUUGGUGCCAUUCACAGAAGCAUCGGUAACUCGCUGCCGUUUUCACCAACCGAACUCAACAGGGCAAAGAUUCAAAUGUGUCCCACUGUGCCCAGCCUGUACUAGGAAUACCCUCAGUGUUAACCAAUGACUCUAGCCAAGCAUGAAGGCCACUGUGGGAACCCCAGCUAAACAGCCACUGGAANCAGAGCGGACAUGGCCCAGAGCUCAGUUCGAUACAGAAAGCUUAUGAAGGAAUACAUUUGGGGUUCCUUCUCUGUUUUCCUAACCCUGUGCAGUAUGUGAUGUUGGUAAUAGGCCUCGUUUAAACCGCUAUCAUUACCUAUAUCAGAUCAAAGGAAGCUCUCAUCAACCUGGGUUUCAAACCUUAUAGAUAUCAGCAAUUUUCUGAAUUAGGAUUCUGAACUAGAUCAGAGUGGACAGAUAACUUCUGAGUGCUCGGGCUGGAGGCCUGUGUCUCCUGACCAUGUGUCACUGUUCUUUGCUUUGUCAUCCUACAGAGUUGUGAAGCUUCCUCGGAUGUGCAAAGCACUCGAGCUAAGGAAGCAUUCAAUGUAAUGACUGGUGGCCUGUUUGAUUGGGAAGUAGAAAUAUGACUUAGGACAAAAACCUAGUUAUUCAUCUACCUCCCUGGCAAAAUCCUGGGUCCUGGUCUGGGUAUGUGUUGGUGCUGGAAUAGAGAGGUUGUUCAGUGGUUAGAGCGCUGGCUGUUCUUGCAGAGGACCUGGGUUCAGUUCCUAGCACCCACAUGGCAGCUUACAACCAUCUGUGGCUCUGGUUCCAGGGGAUAUGGCGCCCUCUUCAGGCCUCAUCAGGCAUUGCAUGCAUGUGGUUCACCGACAUAUUCAGGCAUGAAACAAGGUGCAUGCUCACUUCAACUCCCUUUGCUUCCACAUCUCCUUUUGUUCCUCAUGAGAUCCUAACCCUCUUAAAAGCAGGCCCUGUGCUGUGUUUUGAUAACCUCACUUGUCUCUCUCUGCUUGUCAUUCUGUCCUGUUCCCCAUCCUCUUUAGGGGUUGGGUGAGUGGCCAGUGCAGUUCUGUCAUAAUCCCGGAAGACAGGAAGUCCGUUUCUCCACACUGACAGACAACAGUGCUGACAUGCAUUAAGACAUUUAGAAAUUAAUUGGCCCACGUUGCAUUUCUGCUCCCGUGCUUUGGGACAACCGCAGAGACACGAGAGAAUUGCAUCAACAUUUUCUAAGCUUUAACAAGCUGUGGGCUGAAUGCUAAGUCUAAAUGGCUGAAGUCUAAGGCAGUCUUGGUCUAAGAAGUCACAAUGCUAAUGUGUUGGCCAUCAGUAAUUUAAAUGUUUGCAAAAGAAAAUUUUGAUUUAUAGAUGUGGGAUCUUUAAUCUCUGAGAUUAAAUUCCCACUCAAUAAUUUUACUACCUUUAAAGGCUUCUUGAAAUUUGUUCUUGUUUACCUCCUUUUCGGGGAUCACAGAUAUUAGGCAAGCACUUUACAGUGAGCCACAUCCCCAAAUCCUCNUAGCCUUUCAAUACCUCUGGUUAGGUACACACACACACACACACACACACACACACACACACACACACACGGAUUCCUUUCACAAGAAUCUUACAUCUACCACAACAGCCUUACAAUUGUCUGUCGCUAAGUUUCUGUGCAAAAAUCUUGGAUGCCAAAAGAAUGGAGGUGUAUUAAUCUCCCUGGAGUCCAAAGCCCAGGAAAAACAAGGGGGGAAACUGAAGUUAUUUCUCUUGCAGGAGCAGAUGCUGUCUCACCCCCAGGGAGUUAUGGGUUGGAAGAAAUGAGAUAAUAAAACUAUACAUGCUACUUUGUGAACUAUGUCAAGCAGGAUCAGCAAUAGAUCGGCAAGUGAAUGGAUACACUUCUUCCCUAGAACCAAGGGCCAAUGAGCACUAAGUACGGAUUUCUCCAUCUAACUAGAGGAAAGUAAACCGAGCAAGAAGGCUGACCUAAUUGAGCCCCGCAUGGUAGCCUGUGGGAACCAGAAAGCAUAUUGCCGGCUUAGCUCAGCUGGGUGUCAGCUGUUCAGCUCUGCCCUACAGCCCGGGUUGUGCAGCCCUUUCCAGCGCCUUCCCCUGUCCAAGGUCACAGCCCAGAGUUAAGGGCACAAGCAUCUGUUGCCCCUUGCUCUGCUCACGGGAUUUGUGUCUGUAGAUGAAAAGACAAGAACAAUAGGGCCUACAAAGUAACCAAACCACUUGCUUCCUGACAAGCCGUUUGCCUCCUAGUACUCUCAACCUACUAGUUGGGCUUCCUUAUCUUUCUGGGAAAACCAGUCCACCUUGCAGACAGGAAUCACGCCAAGACGUAGGGGUAAUCUGAUGGAAAAGGGUGCGGUUGGACCUGUAAAUGGGAACCUACAAGGUUUUAAACUGAAGAAACCAGCAGUAGAACACACUGUCUGUAGACGGUGAGUGGUAGACAGCGCUCUCCUAGCUGAGAUAGGAACACAUGAGUCUAUAGGGAUAACUCCGAGAGCAUCCUGAUGUAGGAGAUACGGAGCUGACAGGGAAACAUGGAGGAGCCUAAAAGUCUGAGAAGCUGAGAAGAAUGGUCCACGCUGAAUAACUGAAUAACUGGUGUGUAAAGAUGUGCCCUGGCCUCAGGGAAUCGUGCCUGAAAUACACGUUUCUGUCAGCCUAAACUAAAUUGCUUAUCUCUGCCUUUUAAAUAUGUCCAGAUUCCCCCUGCCUUGGGAAACUGGAUAUAGACUUAAGAGAGAACAGACAUAGGCUUGAAAUACCCCGGCAGUUACCAUAGAGAAAAGGAAAAUUAACAAUUUUUAUAUUAUGAGGAAGAGAAGCAUAAUAUAUAAUUACUCAGAAUCUCCCACAAAGAGGCUCUUCUGUGAACAAAAAGAAUAGAUAUCCCGGGCUGGGGAUUUAGCUCAGUGGUAGAGCGCUUACCUAGGAAGCGCAAGGCCCUGGGUUCGGUCCCAGCUCCGAAAAAAAGACCCAAAAAAAAAAAAAAAAAAAAAGAAUAGAUAUCCCAAAGGCAACUACUGUUGUGACAUUUAACUGGGAAUGCAGCCAAAAACUUGAGGUAGGAUCACAGCCCCUUCCUUUCUUGUGAAAAACUUUGGGGGCCAAUUAACUCACCCAAAGUGGUGGUUGUGUUUCCGGCUACCUUAGAGCGGUGGUUCUCAACCAGUGGGGGGCGACCCCCACGUGGGUUGUAUAUCAGAUAUUUACAUUACGACCCAUAGUAGCAGCAAAUUUACAGUUCUGAAGUAGCAAUAAAAUAAUUUUAUGGUUGGGGCCACCACAACAUGAGGAACUAUAUUAAAGGGUUGCAGCAUUAGAAAGGUUGAGAACCACUAGGCUAGAGGAUGACACAGGACACCCAUGGAUGUAUAUUGAUAAAGGUUAACGAGGCCAUCUUUCAGAUGAAUGGUUUGAAGGUGUUUCUUAUUGUAUCUAAAUAUCUCUCAAAAAAGAGUUCCGGGCGAGAGAGAUGGUUCAGCGGUUAAGAGCACUGGCUGCUCUUCCAGAGGUCCUGAGUUCAAAUCCCAGCCGCCACAUGGUGGCUCACAACCGUCUGUCAUGGGAUCCAAUGCCCUCUUCCGGAGUGUCUGAAGACAGUGACAGUGUAUUUACAUACAGUAAAUAAUAAAAAAAAGAAUUUCA
RNAcentral lists this long non-coding RNA (7456 nucleotides) under Rattus norvegicus (Norway rat). Its description in RNAcentral is "long non-coding RNA 001 (Lnc001)". Lineage: Eukaryota; Metazoa; Chordata; Mammalia; Rodentia; Muridae. The record is from RNAcentral.